RNAcentral lists this ribosomal RNA (376 nucleotides) under Foettingeriidae sp. RNAcentral describes it as "partial small subunit ribosomal RNA". It matches the Rfam family "Eukaryotic small subunit ribosomal RNA", at positions 582 to 975 of the family's 1831-position model. Lineage: Eukaryota; Ciliophora; Oligohymenophorea; Apostomatida; Foettingeriidae. The record is from RNAcentral.
AUUCCAGCUCCGAUAGCGUAUAUUAAAGUUGUUGCAGUUAAAAAGCUCGUAGUUGAAUUUCUAGGCAAUUUAUGGUCGGCUUUUUAGUCACCAUCAGUUGUCUAUCCGGCAUUGAACGUAUACGGUUAUUAAGUUAACUUAUGCGCGAACUGCCAUUUUACUUUGAAAAAAUUAGAGUGUUUCAGGCAGGCAAUUGCCCGAAUAUCUUAGCAUGGAAUAAUGGAAUAGGACUUUGGUUCAUUUGAUUGGUUAUUGAAUCAGAGUAAUGAUUAAUAGGGACAGUUGGGGGCAUUAGUAUAUAAUUGUCAGAGGUGAAAUUCUUGGAUUUAUUAAAGACUAACUUAUGCGAAAGCAUUUGCCAAGGAUGUUUUCAUUG